Molecule: ribosomal RNA, 1499 nt
Filed under: metagenome
Description: bacterial SSU rRNA
Rfam family: Bacterial small subunit ribosomal RNA
Source: RNAcentral
AGGGUUUGAUCCUGGCUCAGAGUGAACGUUGGCGGCGUGGUUUAGGCAUGCAAGUCGAAAGCGAAUGAAAAGCUUGCUUUUCUAUUAGCUUGGCGAACGGGUGAGUACAAGCUUGAUAAUCUACCCUUGUGUGGGGGAUAAUGCCUGGAAACGGGUGACAAUACCGCAUAAUACAACCGUACGCAUGUACGGUGGUCAAAGAUCGUAAUGUCGCAUAAGGAUUAGUCAAGCUCCUAUCAGGUUGUUGGUGUGGUAAAGGCGCACCAAGCCUAAGACGGGUAUGGGGACUGAGAGGUUGGCCCCACACACCGGAACUGAGACACUGUCCGGACACCUACGGGUGGCUGCAGUCGAGAAUCUUCGGCAAUGGACGAAAGUCUGACCGAGCGACGCCGCGUGCGGGAAGAAGGCCCUCGGGUUGUAAACCGCUGUUAGGAGGUAGCAAUAAGCGGUAGAAUAUGCCGUGAUGAGUUAAACUCCAGAGAAAGUCACAGCUAAUUACGUGCCAGCAGCUGCGGUAAUACGUAAGUGGCGAACGUUACUCGGAAUCACUGGGCUUAAAGGGGGUGUAGGCGGACAGGUAAGUCAUUGUUGAAAUCCCUCGGCUUAACCGAGGAAUUGGCACUGAAACUAUUUGUCUUGAGGAUAGCAGGGGGGUGUGGAACUUCUGGUGGAGCGGUGAAAUGCGUAGAUAUCAGAAGGAACACCGGUGGCGAAGGCGAUGCCCUGGGCUAUUUACUGACGCUGAGGCCCGAAAGCGUGGGGAGCAAACAGGAUUAGAUACCCUGGUAGUCCACGCUGUAAACGAUGAGCACUAGCAGGAGGGGUUAUAUCGGUCUCUCUUGCGUAGCGAAAGCAUUAAGUGCUCCGCCUGGGGAGUACGGCCGCAAGGUUAAAACUCAAAGGAAUUGACGGGGGCUCACACAAGCGGUGGAGCAUGUGGUUUAAUUCGAAACAACGCGCAGAACCUUACCCGGGUUUGACAUGUACGGAUGCUGCUCUCGAAAGGGAUGUCAGCUGCUUCGGUGAAACGUAUACAGGUGUUGCAUGGCUGUCGUCAGCUCGUGCCGUGAGGUGUCAGGUUAAGUCCUUUAACGAGCGAAACCCCUACCGUUAGUUGCCAGCAUUAAGUUGGGGACUCUAGCGGGACUGCCGCGUAAGUUGCGAGGAAGGUGGGGACGACGUCAAGUCAUCAUGGCCUUUAUAUCCGGGGCUACACACGUGCUACAAUGGCUGGUACAAACUGAAGCUAACCCGCGAGGGGGCGCAAAUCGGAAAAAGCCAGCCCCAGUUCAGAUUGUAGGCUGCAAUUCGCCUACAUGAAGUUGGAAUCGCUAGUAAUCGCGGAUCAGCUACGCCGCGGUGAAUAUGUUCCUGAGCCUUGUACACACCGCCCGUCAAGCCAUGAAAGCCGGGGGCGCCCGAAGUCGUGAGUCUAACCUUAGGGAGGACCACGCCGACGGUGAAACCGGUGAUUGGGACUAAGUCGGAACAAGGUA